AUGGCCGAAUGUGGCGCCCCGUCAGGAGCAAUCAAUUGCCUAAGUUGGAACUGUCGCGGCGCGGCCAACAAACCAACAGUUCGGGAGUUGGUGGGACUUGCGAGGACUGACAUUGCACAUUUGGUCUUUUGUGAAACUAGAGUUAAAGCUGAAAAAGUGCGUCGUUUAAGAGGUAGACUGGGUCUGAGAGGUUUUGCAGGAUGUGAUAGUAAUGGUUUGAGUGGGGGACUAGCCCUCUUUUGGAGUGAUCAAAUAUUUGUUGAUGUUCAAGAAGUAAAUGAAAGAUAUAUAGAUGCGUACGUCCGUGUGUAUGAUAAUGAUCCACUUUGGCACUUGACCUGUGUGUAUGGUGGGCCAAGGGUGGAAAACCGUCACUUGAUGUGGGAAAAAUUGUAAAACUUAAAAACAAAGUCUCCAUUACCAUGGUGUGUGAUUGGCUACUUCAAUGAAGCCAUGUGGUCUUUCGAACACCUUUCAGUUUCACAACGUGGAGAAAGACAGAUGCUGGCCUUCAGAGAUACCUUGGAGAUAUGUGAGUUGUCAGAUUUGGGUUUUUCGGGUGUGCCUUUUACCUAUGACAAUAAGCAAGCUGGACAUCGAAAUGUUAAAGUUCGCCUUGACCGGGCUGUGGCAGACAACCGAUGGCGGGACAUCUUCUCGGAGACACAAGUUGUACACAAUGUCAGUCCUUGCUCGAACCACUGUCCAGUGGUGUUAAAGUGCAUAAAAGAAGAGAAGCUGGAUAUCAAACCAAGCCAGAGACGGUACGAGAUCAUGUGGGAGACUGAUAGCGGCCUACCGGAGAGAGUUCAAAAUGCAUGGGCAAAUGCAGGGGCAAAGGUAAACCUGGGUGAUAUUCGCCGUGGCCUGUGUGAAUUGAUGGUUGAGCUACAUGUAUGGAGCAAAUCUAGAUUCGACAGUGUGGUAUGUGAACUCAAGAAGUCUAGAACAAGGCUGGAGGAGUUGUUGAGAAUGAAUGCUGAUCGAAAUGAAAUACAGGCUGUACAAGACCAUAUGAAUGAUCUCAUGUACAAGGAAGAAAUCAUGUGGUUGCAAAGGUCACGUAUUGAUUGGUUGCGUGAAGGAGACCGCAACACAAUUUUUUUUCACCAGCAGGCAGUUUGGAGAGCAAGAAAAAAAUAA
This 1143-nucleotide ribosomal RNA is filed under the name Triticum aestivum (bread wheat). RNAcentral describes it as "partial small subunit ribosomal RNA". Lineage: Eukaryota; Viridiplantae; Streptophyta; Magnoliopsida; Poales; Poaceae. The record is from RNAcentral.